Molecule: long non-coding RNA, 1020 nt
Filed under: Olea europaea subsp. europaea
Lineage: Eukaryota; Viridiplantae; Streptophyta; Magnoliopsida; Lamiales; Oleaceae
Source: RNAcentral
AUCUGUUUGUGUGCCAUCUUGUACAAAGGGUUUUUGCCCUUCAAAUGGGGCCAAAUGACAGGCCACCUUGGCCUUUGAUCUGAAUCUCAUUUUAAAAUAGAACAAAUCUUGCCCUUCAAAUGGGGAGGCUGACCGCCCCCACAAAUGGGGGUGGGGUCUGCAAAAAAAAUGGGACCUCCCCUCUCCCCAUUUGUGGGGUUCGGUUAGGCGAGGGGGGGGGGGGAAGGGGGCCAUCAGCCCCCUAUUAUAGAACCCUUUAAAAACUGAAAUUCUUAUCAAGGGUCAUUUGGCCUUCUCUCUAUAGUAGGAUUCCUGUACAAACAGAUUUAAUCAUUCAUAUUGUCUUGUUUUAAUAUGAACCUAUGAGGCUUAUAUGAAUAGGCUCAAAUGUACUUCUUGUCCUUGCGUUUGCAUCUCUUAAUCAUUGCCAUCUUUAUGUCCAUCUAAGGGAUUUGGAUUGAUAUGAUCUCACGAUUUCUACUGUGCAAUAUAAAAGGGAAAUUAAUAGGGUUUUUCUAUUUGUAUAUCGACCCUCUCACAAGAGGAGGGUUCACAAUUUUUUUAUUCGUCGUGGGUUGCCCUUUUUAUGAGGGGUCGAUCAACUCCGGUGUACAAGUGGGUAAAUCCAAAUUAACAUGGCUUGUAAUUGUUAAAGAUUUAAUUGCAUUAGAUCUCCCAAAACUAUUAACAUGAAGCAUAAUGACACAGAAAGAUUCAUUUAGACCUUAAAUUUGGCAAUAAUUUUUGUAGUUAUGUUAAGAUCUAUAUGGCAUGAUUAGUAUGUCUGCAGCGAGAAUUCGAAGGGGUUGGUUUUGGUAUGUGUAGACUGAAACUAUUAUGAUGUUUUUAGUUGCUUUGGAUGAACGGAAUGGAAUCGUAGAAGAGGAUGUAUGUAGUUGACUCUACGCUUAGUUUCUUGUGGUUUGAGGUCCUUGCUAAUAGAGGAAUUUAUUUUUUUGAUUGAUACUAGAAGUUGAGCUUGUUGUAAAGGAAAUAAAGUAAUGUGAUACUGAAGUGGGC